UAUCUUCAGGUGACUACAGAUGUGUUAACACCCAGCAUGUUCCGGUAGGAGACUUUCUGGAUGGGGAAGAUUUCCAGGAAUUGGCAACAAGCUCAUUUCACUGGUGGGUUUGCUGAAGCAUUAUCACAAGACAGAAUGAUUGAUGAGUGCUCUUCAGGUGUGAAUCACGGCAAUACAGUGAAAGACGGUGAUUUACUGCUUUUGAGGGCGUGCAUGUAUAUGAUUAAGGGAUGGAAGUGCAGGACUCCAAGAUUUACUUCCUUCCCUUUCCAGCAGAACUACCUGAGAGGAGUCAAAUCUACUGAUGGAGUCACUCCAUUAUUCUUAUCUGUGGAGAUCUAGAUCUUGAUUUGAAAGUUUCUGAGAAAAUCUUCAGCUCAGACUUGAGGGUCAACUUUACCAACUGAAGGAUCUGCAUUUAUUGCUCAAUCACAUCUAAUUUGAUGUUCUCUGCAGAUUUAAAAUGUGUGCCUUCUUUUCCAUCACCAAGUCAUCCCUGGGUUACUACUGAACAUCCUUCUCAAUUCCCCCCGACCCAUGGAUGGCUGUUCUCCAUUGUCUAUUUCACCAGAUGUCCUCAAAACAAACAGACAGAAGAAGGAAGUGGCUAACGGAGCUGUGGAGUCCAAGUGUGACUGCCAAGAGGAAUCCAGCAAAGCCAAAAAGCCCAAGCAUGUAGCCCUGCCUGAAGCCCACCACACGCAUGGAAAACCCAGAGGAAAUGAGUGAGGAUCAGUGGGAAGAAGGGAGCCAGCCAGGAAGUUGAAGAUUUGUCCAGGAGCAGAUAGCUGAAGAGAGAGAGAGAGAAGAGAGAAAGGCUUACAGCUCAGGUCCUCUCUCCAUGCUUAGGAACCACUACAAAUGCUACUGCCUUGAGUCUCAUUUUGUUUCCCUCUGGAAACCACAUGUGUACUUUGUUUGCAACAGUAUGGUUCUCGCUCUAUCACGUAGGCUGGAAUGCAGUGGUGUUGGUGUGAUAAGGGUCAGUGCAGUCUCAACCUCCUGGGCUCAAGUGAUCCUCUUGCCUCAGCCUUUUGAGUAGCUGGGACCACAGGCUCACAGGCAGAAGGAAUUUUCCUUGUCUUGGAUGAGACUUUUGACUUGGACUUUUGGGUUAAGUUCUGCAGGCCAGAAGGCCAAAAUCAAAAGUAUGAGCAGGCUUGAUUUCUUUAGAAGACUCCAAGGGAGAACUGUGUCUCCUUGCUUCUGAUUCUACAUCUCCAUCCAUGGGCCACUGUUUCAGCAACCUCAGCCAGUGCAACACAACCUCAGCCAAGAAGAGUAUGCAGAGAAAGGAGUCGCCUACCUGCCACAAAGCUGUUGUCUGAAAACUAUCUCAUAUUGUCUCAAGUUGUCGUUCAGUGUGAAUUAGACCUUUUUAACAUGCAAUCUGCAACAUGCUUCACUGUCUAAUUUUCCAGAGCCCCUCAUAUAAGAAACUGUAUUAUUGAUAUAAUCAUCAUGGUGAAUAAGUUGGUAUGUGGGGGAGAGAUGACAGAAACAGAGAGUAAGUCAGAGCUGGCUGCCUGACAGAUAAAAAGGAAAUGACC
RNAcentral lists this long non-coding RNA (1550 nucleotides) under Pongo abelii (Sumatran orangutan). Its description in RNAcentral is "lincRNA". Lineage: Eukaryota; Metazoa; Chordata; Mammalia; Primates; Hominidae. The record is from RNAcentral.